This 270-nucleotide ribosomal RNA is filed under the name uncultured archaeon. RNAcentral describes it as "partial 16S ribosomal RNA". It matches the Rfam family "Archaeal small subunit ribosomal RNA", at positions 477 to 747 of the family's 1478-position model. The record is from RNAcentral.
CAGCCCCUCGAGUGGUGGGGAUGAUUAUUUGGCCUAAAGCGUCCGUAGCCGGCCGGGCAAGUCUUCCGUUAAAUCCAGCGUCUCAAGCGUUGGACUGCGGGAGAUACUGCUCGGCUAGAGAGUGGGAGAGGUGUGCGGUAUUCUGGGGGUAGGGGCGAAAUCCUUUGAUCCCCGGAGGACCACCAGUGGCGAAGGCUGCACACUAGAACACGUCUGACGGUCAGGGACGAAAGCUGGGGUAGCGAACCGGAUUAGAUACCCGAGUAGUCC